Molecule: ribosomal RNA, 200 nt
Filed under: uncultured bacterium
Lineage: Bacteria
Description: partial 16S ribosomal RNA
Rfam family: Bacterial small subunit ribosomal RNA
Source: RNAcentral
ACGCUCGACACCUACGGGGGGCAGCAGUUGGGAAUAUUGGACAAUGGAGGAAACUCUGAUCCAGUGACGCCGCGUGAAGGAAGAAGGUCUUCGGAUUGUAAACUUAUUUUGUCAGGGAAGAAAAAAUGACUGUACCUGAAGAAAAAGCACCGGCUAACUACGUGCCGGCAGCCGCGGUAAUCUGAGCGGGCUGGCAAGGC